UAAGCUCAACAAGUCAAAAAAUAUAUAAGAAUGACUUGAUAAUUAGAGUGAAUGAGUUCUCAUAACAUCAGAACUAACAAAAACUAAUAAUAUUAAUUACUAAUAUUGUUUGUUUAAAAAAAAUAAACUCAAAAAAGUCGAUACAAACAUGUAUUAAAAAGCUUAUUUAAAUUAACUUAUUUGAGUUUAUAUCUAUUAACUUAUAAGACUAUUAACUUAUAAGACUAUAUUUUAAAGAAAUCGAACUUAUGAAAACAAUUACUAAACAUUUUUAUCUGAACUGUUUUUAACUUAUUAUAUAUCUUACACACAUAACCGUUUAUAUGAAAAACCUAUGUCAUAUCAACUACAAAAUAAGUUGUUUAUUCAACCAAAGAUUAAAUAUAAGCAAAAAUGAGUCAAAGAAACUUGAUGUAUUUGGUUAAAAAUUUGGACUAAAUACAUUCACUUUUGUAGACCAACUUUUGCUUAUAUUUUGGGACGGAGGGAGUACAUGAUAUAUAGAAAGAAUAUUGCCGAUGGUGAAGAUAGCUCAUGAUAUUUUCUUAUACAUUCAAAUAAGGUUUAGUGACGUAUCUUGUUGCUCGUCUACCUUUUGUUCAUAAUUAAAAACUUGUAGAAGAAAAAAAAAACCAAGAACAUAAGUAAAAAUAUUUCAAAAGAAGUAAUGUAGACAAUAUAUAAUGACAUAGCCCCAAAAACAUUAAUCAUUAAACUAGAAUUAAUGAAAAUAUAUUGAACUGUGAAUUGCAUGAUACACUAGGACGGAUCACAAUUGCACAUCACAUGAACCAAAGAGAAGAAGUUGCAAAAGGAAGAAGCAAUAUUGCUCCAUGAAGAGAAGAAGAA
Molecule: long non-coding RNA, 849 nt
Filed under: Trifolium pratense (red clover)
Lineage: Eukaryota; Viridiplantae; Streptophyta; Magnoliopsida; Fabales; Fabaceae
Description: long non-coding RNA (TPRA_LNC002732)
Source: RNAcentral